CUGCAGUAUAUUGUGUUUCGCAGGGAACCUACCUGCUCCCAUAUCUCACAGUACUAAUUUCUUAUUAUACCUGAUUGUAACAAUAAAUUAUUUGAUGCUAGGUGGUCCCCUCACCUGCCUCCAAAACUCAUUGUGUUCAUUUCCUUUAGUACAUUCUCACUCCAAACCAAAGAUUCACUAUGCUUAUUUUGUACAGUACCCGCUCAAUGAGUGUGGGAUAGUGUAAAUACUGGAUGCCUCAACAUUCCAAUUCCAACUUUCACUGUAUGGAUUCCUUGCUGUAUUUUAU
Pelobates cultripes (western spadefoot toad) is the source of this 289-nucleotide non-coding RNA. The record is from the annotation of a GenBank genome assembly. Lineage: Eukaryota; Metazoa; Chordata; Amphibia; Anura; Pelobatidae.